RNAcentral lists this ribosomal RNA (896 nucleotides) under uncultured archaeon. RNAcentral's name for it is "16S ribosomal RNA". The record is from RNAcentral.
UUCCGGCGUUGAAUCCAAUUGAACCGCAGGCUUCACCCCUUGUGGUGCUCCCCCGCCAAUUCCUUUAAGUUUCAUACUUGCGUACGUACUUCCCAGGCGGCAAACUUAACGGCUUCCCUGCGGCACUGCACUGGCCAAAAGCCAGUGCAUCACCGAGUCUGCAUCGUUUACAGCUGGGACUACCCGGGUAUCUAAUCCGGUUUGCUCCCCCAGCUUUCAUCCCUCACCGUCGAACGUGUUCUGGUAGACCGCCUUCGCCACAGGUGGUCAUCAAGAGAUCAAAGGAUUUUACCCCUUCCUCCCGAGUACCGUCUACCUCUCCCACUCCCUAGUUCUGCAGUAUUUCCGGCAGCCCAUUAGUUGAGCUAGUGGAUUUAACCGAAAACUUACAGAACCGGCUACGGAUGCUUUAGGCCCAAUAAUCCUCCUGACCACUUGAGGUGCUGGUUUUACCGCGGCGGCUGACACCAGAACUUGCCCACCCCUUAUUCAUCAGUGGUUUUAGAACUAACAAAAGAUUCCUUUAGCAGGAAACACUCGGAUUAACCUUGUCGUGCUUGCGCACAUUGCAAAGGUUUCUCGCCUGCUGCGCCCCAUAGGGCCUGGGUCCGUGUCUCAGUACCCAUCUCCGGGCUUCUCCUCUCAGAGCCCGUACCUGUAAUAGCCUUGGUGGGCCAUUACCUCACCAACAAGCUGAUAGGCCGCAGUCCCAUCCUAUGGCGACGAAUCAUUUGGACCAUAAACCGUUCCAGGCAUUAUGAUCUAUCGCGGAUUAUUCUCAGUUUCCCGAGGUUAUCCACGUCCAUAGGGCAGAUUGACUACGUGUUACUGAGCCGUAUGCCUUGUAUUGCUACAAUGACUCACAUGGCUUAGUACCAAUCCGAUAGCAGUCAGGU